Glycine soja is the source of this 138-nucleotide non-coding RNA. Lineage: Eukaryota; Viridiplantae; Streptophyta; Magnoliopsida; Fabales; Fabaceae. The record is from Rfam.
AAGACAAGAGACAGUCAACCAGCCAAGGAUGCCUGCCAAUAAACCAAUCUAAGGGCUCCGUCUUCAUUAGAGACAAAGUCCUACAAAUGGGAAUAGCUAGGCAAGUCAUCCUUGGCUAUCCGACAUGACUCUUCAUCU